UCGCGUACUGUGAUAGGACACCAUAAAGUCAUUAAUUAUGCCACAUGCAUGCGAUAAGACCCAUUGUCAUAGCCACUGACGCACCGGACAAAAGACAGGCUCGCUGAUGGAGCCAUUUAAAGAUGCCCCCAUAUGACUCCAUAUGAUUAGACGUUAUCGAAAUACUCUUCUAUCCUUUCAUCCUUCAUCCUUCUCUCAAUAUAAAUGGAGGUAAAAGAAGACCCCUA
RNAcentral lists this long non-coding RNA (227 nucleotides) under Elaeis guineensis (African oil palm). RNAcentral describes it as "long non-coding RNA (EGUI_LNC025416)". The record is from RNAcentral. Lineage: Eukaryota; Viridiplantae; Streptophyta; Magnoliopsida; Arecales; Arecaceae.